UUGAUCCCUUGCUGGCUGAUUUCCUCGCAAGACUCCCUAGCUGACGACUUGGAAAAAAGUCGAUCACUUUUUUCGAAAAAGUCGAGGAGCUUUUGUCGUGAGUAUCUUUGAAUCACAGACGGCGCCAACUGAUGGGGGUGAAACCCGACCAGUACUCCAAGACGCACAAGCAAGCGCCAAGCGGGGAACUCCGCGGGAAACCGGAC
Molecule: long non-coding RNA, 206 nt
Filed under: Zostera marina
Lineage: Eukaryota; Viridiplantae; Streptophyta; Magnoliopsida; Alismatales; Zosteraceae
Description: long non-coding RNA (ZMAR_LNC005152)
Source: RNAcentral